AGAGUUGGGGUUUGUUGGCUGUGCUGUGAAGAAGGAGUCAGUGCUGUGGGGAGAUCCCCAUGAGAAAUCACCGAGAAGGUAACUGAACUAUAACUUUGCCAUUUCACUCUGAUGUAAGUUCAUUGGGAUAAGAUGGCUUGAGAAGGAGUGUUUCUGGGCCUCGUUUCAGCGGGGCGCUGUGCACCAACCCACCCCAGCCCUAGAGCAAUGGGGCCGGCUCCUUCCCGUCUGCCCCAUGCUUGUCUUCUCCUACAACUCAAAGAUGCUGCUGCACGGCACCUUCAGGAUAAAAGGACUUCUGAGCAUCAUGGAAGCUAUCUGUUUGCAUGUACAUCCUGUCACCAAGCCACGGCCCCGCGCGCUUGCACACAUUUCCCUGGGCCUGGCAGAAAUAAUCAGCGUACAAGAGGGAGGGGAAGAACCCCUAGGCUUCCUCUGGAUCAACAUCAGUGCACACGUUCCUGCUGCUUUGGCAACACAUGGGUGCACCUCACAGAGGACUUUCUGCACAGCAGCAGCACUUGGAUUCUGACAGAUAAAGGUUUCAGUAGUGCCAGCAUAUACAAAUACAGCUUUUCACACAUUGAUAAUGUCAUGUAAUUUAAAUGUCUAGAAGUGCAGCUAUUAAAGUGACUUUUAUUUACUCUUUUGCUGCAGCUACUUUACUGAUUUUAUUCACAAAACUCCUAGAUAGUGAGAUUUCCACCAGGUUGGGUUUUUAAUGGAAAUCAUGACAAUUUUUUUCAGCCUUCUCAUGAGAAUUUCAUCUUGAAUUUGGAAUUUUAAAUAAAUACAUCAAUAAGU
Molecule: long non-coding RNA, 804 nt
Organism: Zonotrichia leucophrys gambelii
Lineage: Eukaryota; Metazoa; Chordata; Aves; Passeriformes; Passerellidae
Exons: 3
Source: RefSeq, a predicted model, not a curated record